UACGAAGGGGGCUAGCGUUGCUCGGAAUCACUGGGCGUAAAGGGUGCGUAGGCGGGUUUUUAAGUCAGGGGUGAAAUCCUGGAGCUCAACUCCAGAACUGCCUUUGAUACUGAAGAUCUUGAGUCCGGGAGAGGUGAGUGGAACUGCGAGUGUGGAGGUGAAAUUCGUAGAUAUUCGCAAGAACACCAGUGGCGAAGGCGGCUCACUGGCCCGGUACUGACGCUGAGGCACGAAAGCGUGGGGAGCAAACAGG
RNAcentral lists this ribosomal RNA (253 nucleotides) under uncultured bacterium. RNAcentral describes it as "partial 16S ribosomal RNA". It matches the Rfam family "Bacterial small subunit ribosomal RNA", at positions 524 to 776 of the family's 1533-position model. The record is from RNAcentral.